Molecule: long non-coding RNA, 201 nt
Filed under: Solanum pimpinellifolium
Lineage: Eukaryota; Viridiplantae; Streptophyta; Magnoliopsida; Solanales; Solanaceae
Description: long non-coding RNA (SPIM_LNC000259)
Source: RNAcentral
UCUUCCAAAGCACACCAUAAGAGCCAUUUAUUAUUUUUCUUUGAUUCUAGAUCAAAGAUUAAUUUCAUCUAUAUUAUAUAUUAAUUAUAUUAAGUAGAUUGUAAGUAGAUUGUAGAUUGCGAUGUAUAUCUAUCAAAUCGUGGCUUCAUGUACCAAAUAUUUCAAUAUCGUUGCGUCCGGUAUUUUUGUUUUGUUCCACCA